Molecule: ribosomal RNA, 253 nt
Filed under: uncultured prokaryote
Description: partial 16S ribosomal RNA
Rfam family: Bacterial small subunit ribosomal RNA
Source: RNAcentral
UACGUAGGGUCCAAGCGUUAAUCGGAAUUACUGGGCGUAAAGCGUGCGUAGGCGGUCUCGCAAGUCCGAUGUGAAAUCCCCGAGCUUAACUUGGGAACUGCGUUGGAAACUAUGAGGCUAGAGUGCGGCAGAGGGGGGUGGAAUUCCUGGUGUAGCGGUGAAAUGCGCAGAUAUCAGGAAGAACACCCGUGGCUAAGGCGGCUCUCUAGUACGGUACUGACGCUGAGACGCGAAAGCGUGGGGAGCGAACAGG